CACCCCUCGAGCCUGGCUCGGUGUUGGGCACCGUCCUUUGCGGGCGCGCCUCAAAGACCUCGGCGGUGGCGUCUUGCCUCAAGCGUAGUAGAACAUACAUCUCGCUUCGGAGCGCAGGGCGUCGCCCGCCGGACGAACCUUCUGAACUUUUCUCAA
RNAcentral lists this unclassified non-coding RNA (156 nucleotides) under Botryosphaeria dothidea. RNAcentral's name for it is "sequence contains ITS2". Lineage: Eukaryota; Fungi; Ascomycota; Dothideomycetes; Botryosphaeriales; Botryosphaeriaceae. The record is from RNAcentral.